UCAUGUCACCGGUGCUGGACGUGCACGCUGCACUGCACACCUGGGACACCAGCCGAUGUGCUGCCCGACAAUGUGCAAACAUGAAAAGGCACAUCAGGGUAAUCGUUGCUCAGCAUAAUCAGCAUCUCUGUGCUUCACGGGAACAGCUAUUCGGGGUCCAAGAGGGCGUAUGGAGAGAGACAAUCAGGCGCUCUGGCUUCACUCUGGGAACUGCUUCCAUCUGGCAGGACGUAAGGCUCUGAUUCCAGCUCACACAAUCACACGUGCGACUGACCGACUGUCAAUCAUUGCCCUCGUCUCAUCCCAUCAUACUGGCGACAUGCUGCUCCUCUGACAGCUUCAUCAACGCCACAUGAAAAAUCCAGGCACGGUCUGGAAGGAAGAGUUGAAAUAUUCACCACAUCGCUGAGGUUUGACUCGUUUAGGGAACAAAAUGGCGGCAGCAGCCUGAGGUCCUGCAGGUUGCACAUACCAUAACCAUGGAAUGUAGGUAUGCAUUUUACAUCAUACUGUACUAAACCAUGCACUUGUGUUUUGCAAAUGGAGUCACAACAUGCAAUUUGCGUGCAUUAUACAUAAUGACAGUAAAUUAAAGAACUCAAAACUGGCAGUGGUGCACUGUAUUUACUGGAUGUGUUGGAAGUCACAUCAAAACCUGUACCUCCAGUGCAGGAAUGUCAUUGUAUGGGACAAGCUCAAAUCCUGGCAUGUAGGGACCAAAACCUUCAUAACUGCUGGGAUCAGUGGAGCUGGAGAUGGCUGCCAUGGUGCGCCCCCAGAAAUUUCCAUCUGAUCAACAAGAGUGAAAAGAAAGUAUUUAUUACAUUGUUCUUCUUUCAAUUUUUCCAAACGGUGAUUUGUUGAUCGGGUGACUUUUUUUUUGGAUGUCGACUCAGUGGUCAACCCAUCCUGUAACAGCUGAGGGGAUUGCUGUGCGUCCCUAUUCUAGGAAGGAAAUGUGCUAACUUCCUGACUACACAAAGGCAGCAC
Long non-coding RNA from Solea solea (common sole), 990 nucleotides. RefSeq lists it as uncharacterized. The transcript has 3 exons. The record is from RefSeq and is a predicted model, not a curated record. Lineage: Eukaryota; Metazoa; Chordata; Actinopteri; Pleuronectiformes; Soleidae.